CAGUAGCCGCGGUAAUACGUAGGGUGCGAGCGUUAAUCGGAAUUACUGGGCGUAAAGCGUGCGCAGGCGGUUAUAUAAGACAGAUGUGAAAUCCCCGGGCUCAACCUGGACCUGCAUUUGUGACUGUAUAGCUAGAGUACGGUAGAGGGGGAUGGAAUUCCGCGUGUAGCAGUGAAAUGCGUAGAUAUGCGGGGGAACACCGAUGGCGAAGGCGGCCAUCUGGGACAACACUGACGCUGAGGCACGAAAGCGUGGGGAGCAAACAGGAUUAGAGACCCCCGUAGUCCCUGUCUCUUAUACA
RNAcentral lists this ribosomal RNA (301 nucleotides) under uncultured bacterium. RNAcentral's name for it is "partial 16S ribosomal RNA". It matches the Rfam family "Bacterial small subunit ribosomal RNA", at positions 509 to 808 of the family's 1533-position model. The record is from RNAcentral.